Molecule: long non-coding RNA, 1606 nt
Organism: Lepidothrix coronata (blue-crowned manakin)
Lineage: Eukaryota; Metazoa; Chordata; Aves; Passeriformes; Pipridae
Exons: 3
Source: RefSeq, a predicted model, not a curated record
GACAACUGCAGAGUCAUGCUGCCAUAAUUACAUUACAAUCUAGUCUCCUGGAAGUAGUCUACAAAAAGAGAAGAGUCUGGAAGAAGUGCUCUACUCUGGAGAAAGUAGGUGCCAAAAAACACAGGUGGCUGAUACCAUGGCAGACAUAACCGUUCAACCCUUUACAGUAUCUUUGGUUUAACUGAUUCUGGAUUUUAAUGAAGAGCUGUAGCACUUAUUAUUUCUAUUGAAAACCCUCAUGGAUAUUGGAAAGCUCAAGCAUGCAGAGGGAAAGCUGUAGACUUUACUGCUUGGAAGACAUCCUUUGCCAUGUCAUGGCAUCACCUGACUAUUACAAAAAUGUCUACAAUAAAUAAUAUUCUUCCUUCAUGUUCAUCCAUUGUAAACCGGGGAAUAGGAUGUUCAGAUAUUUGCUAAAUGAUACACUCACACGCGUCUAUACUGCAUCUUUUCUUACAUAUUUUUCUACAGAUUCUAUCCCCUUAGUUUUAUAGCCAUUUUAAUUUUGUAGAAGUCUACCAGACUCCUGUCUUCUCUUUUAAUGCUUCCCAGCUUUCACUGUAAUUCUCAGUUUUGCAAAGAAAAAUUCCUAAAUGCUUGUUACAUGACCUAUGGACCCAGAUGAAGUUCCCAGCUCCCACUGCGCAAUCACUAAACCAUUGCUCAACCCAAGUCUCAGUAACAUCACUGGUUCUUCUGUGCAUUUCAUAUAACAGAGUUCUGGAAUUUGCUCCAUAGGCCAUGAUAUCCUGUUCAGUUCCAAGCAAAACUCAAAGAAUUUACAUGGGUUCAUUUGCAGUAUGUUGUAUUUUUAACUGAAGUAAAUCCUUUCCCAUUAGUUAAUGAAGCAACUGAAGACAUAUAGAAAGGGCAGGCAAUUUGUCAUACAUCUUCCAGCACGGAUGACUGUUUCAUUACAAAAAGUUUAUGGAAAAGAGAUGAGCUCGUAAGACAAAAAAGAAUAAAAGCGAGAGAGAUAUGACUGUUUAAAACAGGCAGGACCUUAAAAUAGUCUUGGUUCUCUCUGAAGGACCAUAUGGAACACUUUUCCAAAAGCAUAAAAAGUGCACACACCUGCCCCCACACACAGAGGGUGUCCUUAAGCUCCCCCUAGAGUUAUAAAUUAUUAGUGUAUUUGCCAUGUUAGUUCUGGUAAAUGAGUAGCUCUAACACCAAACAAUCCUGAAUGUCCUACAUUACUAACGAUGCCUCUGAAGACUGAGAACCUGUACCACACCUGCUUUUGUUCCAUAGCUCUGUAGCUCUUAAUUGUCUUCUCCCCCUCAAAGUUGUGUAAGGACAGUGGUGGCUCCUGACAGCAUAGCUGAUAUGUUAUCAGCCUGUGUGACACAACAGAUAAACGUUUCUUCUUUCAGAGCGUGUUCAUGUCCUUUCUAGGUCUUCUGAAUAAAACUCAGAUGUCCUGAAAUAAAUUCUUUUAAAUUCAAAAUAAACUUUAAUUUAAGAACACUGUCUCCAAGUAAAAUUUAUAUACAUUGUAUUUAUAAUUUUGCUGCUGACAAGGUAACAUUUACAUGUAGUAACUUGCAUUACUCACACUUAAAUAGGAUCCACUCAGCAUUAGACUGAAACCAGUGCCAGAGCA